This 254-nucleotide ribosomal RNA is filed under the name uncultured bacterium. RNAcentral describes it as "partial 16S ribosomal RNA". It matches the Rfam family "Bacterial small subunit ribosomal RNA", at positions 524 to 776 of the family's 1533-position model. The record is from RNAcentral.
UACGUAGGGUGCGAGCGUUGUCCGGAAUUACUGGGCGUAAAGAGCUCGUAGGUGGUUUGUCGCGUUGUCCGUGAAAACUCACAGCUCAACUGUGGGCGUGCGGGCGAUACGGGCAGACUGGAGUACUGCAGGGGAGACUGGAAGUUCCUGGUGUAGCGGUGGAAUGCGCAGAUAUCGAGGAGGAACACCGGUGGCGAAGGCGGGACCUGGGCCAGUACUGACGCUGAGGAGCGAAAGCGUGGGGAGCAAACAGG